This 252-nucleotide ribosomal RNA is filed under the name uncultured bacterium. RNAcentral describes it as "partial 16S ribosomal RNA". It matches the Rfam family "Bacterial small subunit ribosomal RNA", at positions 524 to 776 of the family's 1533-position model. The record is from RNAcentral.
UACGUAGGGUGCGAGCGUUGUCCGGAAUUAUUGGGCGUAAAGGGCUCGUAGGCGGUUUGUCGCGUCGGGAGUGAAAACUCAGGGCUUAACCCUGAGCCUGCUUCCGAUACGGGCAGACUAGAGGUAUGCAGGGGAGAACGGAAUUCCUGGUGUAGCGGUGAAAUGCGCAGAUAUCAGGAGGAACACCGGGGGCGAAGGCGGUUCUCGGGGAAUUACCUGACGCUGAGGAGCGAAAGGGUGGGAGCGAACAGG